This is a long non-coding RNA of Chelonia mydas (Green sea turtle), 3626 nucleotides long. RefSeq lists it as uncharacterized. The transcript has 3 exons. The record is from RefSeq and is a predicted model, not a curated record. NCBI's taxonomy places the organism in Eukaryota, Metazoa, Chordata, Testudines, Cheloniidae.
CCUUAAAGGGAUGGGGCCAGGCUCCGCCCCACGUGAGCCACGUUCCGCUUCCGUGCAGCGCGCGCGGGCUGGCGGGUGGGGCACGAGCCCCCGCCCCGGCCGCUGCUCGGGGCUGCUCCCAGCCUGGCGCGGUGCCGCGCCCCGGACGGCGCGCACGUGGCUGCCGCUGGGCGAGCCGCUCUCGGAGAGAGCCGCGCUCCCGCCCUGGCCCCGUUUUCUCUCGCCGCGGGUCUCCAUCGUGGGUCACGGAUCCCGCGUGAGACUGGACGGUUCGGUUCCCUCCCUCCGCAGCUUCUGGCAUCAGCUGCCAGGAGACUGGGCUAGAGGGAGGUUCGGUCUGACCCAGUCUCGCUCUUAUGCCUAAUAAGGAAUCUAUAGGCCAAAAAACAUUUCCUGGAUCCUUUUUUGUUCUCUGUGUUGUUACAGACCUACUGGUGGACAGGAUGGAACCCAGUUUCUACUCACCUGUGGUGACUGCCUGCUGCAGAACAGCCAGAACCAUUUCUUCAUAAAUAUUUUCAACAUUGAUGAUGCCACUGAAGUCAGCAAACACGUAAUUUUCAUACUUGGGCAGCUCCUACCAAAGGAGGUAGAAGAGAGGGAAAUCAGCCAGCAUCAGUUACCUCACACACACACACACAGAUAGGCAGGGCCAACCUUGGAUUACACAGCACCUGAAGAGAGCCAAAAUAUGGUGUUCUGCCCCCACCUCGGAAUAAAUAGUCACCUGAAAUUCCAAUGGCAUCCUGUAGUUUCUGGCACCUGAACUGCCUGUCCAACCUUUAAUGCUGGUCCUGCACAAUGUUUUAUGUGUAUUUACAGGUUCAGAAGGAAAGUGGAGCCUCAUGGUUAAACAGCCAGAAUGGAAAGUGUUCAAUGGAAUUAGUUCAAACUCCCCAGAAGUCUGGGGGAAAGUUAACCAAGUUUAGGAUCAAGCUUCCCAGAAUCCUGAUCACUAGAGACAAAGUUUAAAUCUCUUCAGGACACAGUGCCCUGUACCACCAAUAGCCCACUGACAUGCACCAGGACUAUCUUCAAGCGGAGUCAAACUUAACCAUUGUCCUAGUACAAGGUACUGAGUUAGGCUGGUAGCAGUGCAGAAAAAUGAUAAAACGAAAUGGAAAAUUUUGGGGAAAGAUUUACAUGGUAGUAAGAGUCAUGAUGUGAAAUAGAAGUAGAUUCAUGGCCCUCUGGAGGGAGUUUAUUGGUUGCCUGGUGAGAGUGGCCUGCAUUUCGGUGGCACUGAAGAACCUGUAAUAUUGCUUAAAGCCUCUCCUCUCUUUGGAGUCACAGUCCAGCCCUGCCACUCUGGAACGCUAUAAUGAAAGGUCAGACUAAAUGAUCUAAUGAUCCCUUCUGGUCUUAAAUUCUAUGAAAGUCACUGAGGGGAAGGGGAUCUCCUAUCAGCCCACUGAAGUUCACUGAGCUAGCAAAGCUUUUCUGAAGAAUAAAAUGGAAUAGUUUGAUAAGAUAAAAUCAGCUUGUAUGAGCUUCAUCAGUUCACAUAUGGGGUUUGGGUCCCUUCACCUUCAUUCAGAAUCAGGCCUCACCAGUUUACAUCUGGGCUCCAGAUUCUUCAGCAGAAAGGGAAGAAAGAUCUGAACCAGCCACUCUUGUGCAAACUGCUUCCUGGUGGAACUGCUGUCAUAGUCAAAUUUCUGAAAACCAACCACAACCAAAUUGAAAAAGGAAUCAGCGCAACAGUCAGGAAACUUCCCCACAACAACUUCUGCAUCUGUCCACCUAGAACAGCUCAGGACUGGAGCAUGUGAGGAACACAGUGUCCAAGGCAGCACACAGAGCAGAAAAGCCAACAAGUGCAGGGAGAAUAUGAUCCAAAGAAAUAGGACUUUACACAAAGAGAAGGUAAGAAUAUCGCACACCUUACCUUCAGCACACGAGUUUUGAUCUUUUCCAGAGUCUGGGUGAUUUGGCUGUGGUUGGUUGCCAAGCUCAGAUGUUGCUCUGAAAGCUGGUGGAAUGUAUGGACCGAAUUCUGCAUUAGCUACAAAAGAAAAAAAUUGUCAGAUGAGUACGGGAGCCAGCACAUUCAGAGACCACAGUCAGGACUCAGUUCCACAUCUUCAGCAACCACCCUCUGGAUAAUGCAGCCUGCUUUCUCUCUAAGAUUGGUUAAAUAAUCUCUUCAUACCCUGCUGAUGCCCAAGGGAAAAAGCAGACCCCACACAAAUUAAAGGUGUCCCCAGUAUACUGCAUCAGGAAUCCCUCAUGCAGAAGAGCAUCAGGUGGCUUCUGGAGCUGAGAAUGGAUAAGAGAGGACAGGAAACAAGUCCCAGUGAAAGUGCAGAUGCAACUGUAAACUCUUUGGGACAGAUACCAUGUCAUCUGUCUCUCUGCAGUGCUUAGCACAAGGGGACCCUGACUGGGGCCUUUGGCUGCUACCACAAUAUAAAUAAUGGGACAACUGAACGAUGACAUCUAGCAGACACUGAAAGCAAAUAAAACACCUACAUUAACACACACACACACACACACACGCGCGCCCUGUAAUUACAGUCAUAGUAGCUCUGAAGGGGACUUACAAGGUCUUUCAGUCUAACCAGAGGAGAGGUCACAGUUUAUCGGCUCCAUCUGUGUAUAUAAAAUUAUAAAACUGUAUGUAGUGUGGAAUUGCAGUGUUAUAGCCACGUUCAUCCCAGGAUUAUUAGAGAGACAUGCAGAGGUGUUAACAGCCCACUUCACCAUGAAUGGUCUCUUGCAGCAUGUGUUAACUCCUUAUGCUUAACAAUCUGUUCCACCUUGUAUUUAUCUGUAAUGCUCCGAGUACCUUUCCCAGACCUGAAGAAGAGCUCUGUGUAAGCUUGGAAACUUCUCUCUUUCACCAGCAGAAGUAGGUCCAGUAAAAUAUAUUACCUCACCCACCUUGUUUCUUUAGUAUGGAAUGAAAGAUAGCAAGUAACACAGAGUGGCAAUUUUUAAACCUUCCUAGUGGCAGCAGGGCAGCAGUGAGGAUUAGAAUUUGGGAGUUGCCACCUCCUAUUCCAAUGCUCGGGCCACCAGGGCGUGUAUCCUCAUGCUUGAUUCAUUCAGCAACACACACAAUUAUGUGUCAGAGAUUAAUAGCCCUAAAGAAUCUCAAGAUGCUAGAGCGAAUGAGGGAGGAAGACAAAGUUGUCUUCAGAUCAGGGAGAAGACAACAGCUCAGGGGUGUGUGGGAAAAAGAAAUCUCCCAGAACACUAGUAACAGCCAUUCAUUGUCCUCUCUCCAAGCUCACAGCUCCUACAGGAGUCAGUGGGGAUCAGUGAGGGAGGGAAAAAGAGGGGGUGGUGUGCAGGAAGAGAAGGCCUUUUGAAUUAUCUGAAACUUUAGUCAGUCCCUCAAAAGUGAACUAAGCCAUCCCACCACCGGCCUCCGACAUGCAGAAAUUGCCCCUACACACACGCAGAUCAACCAUUGUAAUCUGCAUUUUAAAAUAUGUCCCAAAAGACCUAUUUCCAGGGCAUGAGAAGCCAAAGAAGCCCCUAUUGUUAGGUCAGUGAUCCAAUAAGCUAUUACCAACAGGAGAGUGGGGUUUUGGGAAGGAGGGGGGUCAGAAAACCUGGAUUUGUGCUGGAAAUGGCCCACCUUGAUUAUUAUAUACAUUGUAAGGAGAGGGAUCACUUUA